Molecule: ribosomal RNA, 520 nt
Filed under: uncultured Glomus
Lineage: Eukaryota; Fungi; Glomeromycota; Glomeromycetes; Glomerales; Glomeraceae
Description: SSU rRNA
Rfam family: Eukaryotic small subunit ribosomal RNA
Source: RNAcentral
AGCAGCCGCGGUAAUUCCAGCUCCAAUAGCGUAUAUUAAAGUUGUUGCAGUUAAAAAGCUCGUAGUUGAAUUUCGGGGUCAGUAAGUUGGUCGUGCCACUGGUAUGUACUGGCUUUACUGAUUCCUCCUUCUUGUAGAACCGUAAUGCCAUUAAGUUGGUGUUGCGGGAAAACAGGACUGUUACUUUGAAAAAAUUAGAGUGUUUAAAGCAAGCUAACGCUUGAAUACAUUAGCAUGGAAUAAUGAAAUAGGACGAACGAUCCUAUUUUGUUGGUUUCUAGGAUUGACGUAAUGAUUAAUAGGGAUAGUUGGGGGCAUUAGUAUUCAAUUGUCAGAGGUGAAAUUCUUGGAUUAUUGAAGACUAACUACUGCGAAAGCAUUUGCCAAGGAUGUUUUCAUUAAUCAAGAACGAAAGUUAGGGGAUCGAAGACGAUCAGAUACCGUCGUAGUCUUAACCAUAAACUAUGCCGACUAGGGAUCGGAUGAUGUUAAUUUUUUCAAUGACUCAUUCGGCGCCUUA